GGUAAGUUGGUCUAAUGGUCUAAAAUGACAGUUUAAGGCUCUCAACCAGGAAGGCAUGGGUUCAAAUUCCAUAAUUGUUAAAAACCA
Molecule: non-coding RNA, 87 nt
Organism: Dovyalis caffra
Lineage: Eukaryota; Viridiplantae; Streptophyta; Magnoliopsida; Malpighiales; Salicaceae
Source: the annotation of a GenBank genome assembly